UACGUAGGGUGCAAGCGUUGUCCGGAAUUAUUGGGCGUAAAGAGCUCGUAGGCGGUCUGUCACGUCGGCUGUGAAAUCCCGAGGCUCAACCUCGGGCCUGCAGUCGAUACGGGCAGACUAGAGUUCGGUAGGGGAGACUGGAAUUCCUGGUGUAGCGGUGAAAUGCGUUGAUAUCAGGAGGAACACCCAUGGCGAAGGCAGCUUACUGGGCAUUAUCUGACGCUGAGACGCGAAAGCGUGGGUAGCAAACAGG
RNAcentral lists this ribosomal RNA (253 nucleotides) under uncultured bacterium. RNAcentral describes it as "partial 16S ribosomal RNA". It matches the Rfam family "Bacterial small subunit ribosomal RNA", at positions 524 to 776 of the family's 1533-position model. The record is from RNAcentral.